AUUGAACGCUGGCGGCAUGCCUUACACAUGCAAGUCGAACGGCAGCACGGGAGCAAUCCUGGUGGCGAGUGGCGAACGGGUGAGUAAUAUAUCGGAACGUGCCCAGUCGUGGGGAUAACGUAGCGAAAGCUACGCUAAUACCGCAUACGAUCUAUGGAUGAAAGCGGGGGAUCGCAAGACCUCGCGCGAUUGGAGCGGCCGAUAUCAGAUUAGGUAGUUGGUGAGGUAAAGGCUCACCAAGCCGACGAUCUGUAGCUGGUCUGAGAGGACGACCAGCCACACUGGGACUGAGACACGGCCCAGACUCCUACGGGAGGCAGCAGUGGGGAAUUUUGGACAAUGGGCGCAAGCCUGAUCCAGCAAUGCCGCGUGCAGGAUGAAGGCCUUCGGGUUGUAACUGCUUUGUACGGAACGAAACGGUGAGCUCUAAUACAGUUUGCUAAUGACGGUACCGUAAGAAUAAG
This 464-nucleotide ribosomal RNA is filed under the name uncultured bacterium. Its description in RNAcentral is "bacterial SSU rRNA". It matches the Rfam family "Bacterial small subunit ribosomal RNA", at positions 30 to 490 of the family's 1533-position model. The record is from RNAcentral.